CGUCGCCACGGUAAUACGGAAGGUCCAGGCGUUAUCCGGAUUUAUUGGGUUUAAAGGGAGUGUAGGCGGUCUGUUAAGCGUGUUGUGAAAUUUAGGUGCUCAACAUCUAACUUGCAGCGCGAACUGGCGGACUUGAGUGCACGCAACGUAUGCGGAAUUCAUGGUGUAGCGGUGAAAUGCUUAGAUAUCAUGACGAACUCCGAUUGCGAAGGCAGCGUACAGGAGUGUUACUGACGCUUAAGCUCGAAGGUGCGGGUAUCGAACAGGAUUAGAGACCCGCGUAGUCCCUGUCUCUUAUACC
This 301-nucleotide ribosomal RNA is filed under the name uncultured bacterium. Its description in RNAcentral is "partial 16S ribosomal RNA". It matches the Rfam family "Bacterial small subunit ribosomal RNA", at positions 510 to 808 of the family's 1533-position model. The record is from RNAcentral.